This is a long non-coding RNA of Trachemys scripta elegans, 1054 nucleotides long. RefSeq lists it as uncharacterized. NCBI's taxonomy places the organism in Eukaryota, Metazoa, Chordata, Testudines, Emydidae. The record is from RefSeq and is a predicted model, not a curated record. The transcript is spliced from 2 exons.
CUCUACUUAUCAUGAUCAUAUACAAGCAUCACUUCAGCCCACAGCCUCCCUUCACGCUAGGUAGGGACUCCAAAAUAGGACUAUAUCAGUGUGAAACCAUUAGUCUGCCUUUAUCUAAGAUUACAGGUUAGAAGCAUUUCAUUUUUAUUACAUGAUGACUGGAGCUUUUUUCAACAAUGAUAAUGCUGGAAUUCUAUGAACUGGCAAAAGAGCGAGAGAACAACCAUUCUGAUUUUAGCAUUAAAAAAAAAGUUAGUGCUGUUUUUUUAUUUAAAUGCAAACACCCUGCGAAAUGCCAAAGGUCAGGAGUAGAACCUGAACAGUGUAGGCAUUGCCAAUAUGUUUUAUGAGCACCAUCGCCUCUGACCAAAUAUACACUAAACGGCUGCAUCAUCAUAUUAAUGCUUAACAACAACAACUUUUGGCUCUGAAAUCACUUUCCGGUGGGGUUUUUUUUCCAACAGCAGCAUCAGCUGGAAACCGAAGAUCAGAAAAUGGCUAUUGAUUAAUCUAUUAGAUUAGUUGCAGAGAGAAAUAAAAAAGACGUAAAAUAACAAAGGGAAACUAUAAAUAAAGAAGCCUUUAGCUGCCUUUUUUUUUUGGCAGAGGUGUUAACGACAUAAUCAUUGCCAGCGUUAGCAUAUGAAAAAGUAGGAAAUGAGGGAGUGUGUGAAUGUGAAGACUCUAUUCACCAGAGUGCAAGCUAGGAAGGGUUUCCAAGAGGAACUCCAGCUGAUGAAGCACUGAUGCAAGAAAAGAACAUUGUAUCAAGCAUGUCAGGCAGUAUUUACAGUCUUUAAGUAGACCAUAUUUAGGAUAUCUUGUUAAAAUAUUGCAUGAUGGAGGAUUUCAACAGACAUGUUUAAAUGGAUUCUAAGAAGCUGGACAGAAAGAAAAUAUGCCUGUGGAGCUGUAAAACAUGUAUCUGCCCAGAAGAGAAGAGAAAAAAAAAGCCCUGAAUGAUACAUCGUGUGGGAAGAUAUCUGCCCAAAUGUCUUAAUUGCUUUGUAAACUCAUCUAAAUAAAUAAAAUUUAGAGGGGCUGUCACAGCCAA